CUAGCAUAUCAAUAAGCGGAGGAAAAGAAACCAACAGGGAUUGCCUCAGUAACGGCGAGUGAAGCGGCAACAGCUCAAAUUUGAAAUCUGGCCCCCAGGCCCGAGUCGUAAUUUGCAGAGGAUGCUUUGGGCGCGGCGCCUUCCGAGUUCCCUGGAACGGGACGCCACAGAGGGUGAGAGCCCCGUCUGGUUGGAUGCCUAGCCUAUGUAAAGCUCCUUCGACGAGUCGAGUAGUUUGGGAAUGCUGCUCUAAACGGGAGGUAUAUGUCUUCUAAAGCUAAAUAUUGGCCAGAGACCGAUAGCGCACAAGUAGAGUGAUCGAAAGAUGAAAAGCACUUUGAAAAGAGGGUUAAAUAGUACGUGAAAUUGUUGAAAGGGAAGCGCUUACGACCAGACUUGGGCCCGGCGGAUCACCCGGCGUUCUUCGCCGGGGCACUCCGCCGGCCCAGGCCAGCAUCGGUUCGCCUUGGGGGAUAAAGGCGGUGGGAACGUAGCUCCCUCGGGAGUGUUAUAGCCCGCCGUGUAAUACCCUGCGGCGGACCGAGGACCGCGCAUCUGCAAGGAUGCUGGCGUAAUGGUCGUCAGCGACCCGUCUUGAAACACGGACCAAGGAGUCGUCUUCGUAUGCGAGUGUUCGGGUGGAAAACCCCUACGCGUAAUGAAAGUGAACGCAGGUGAGAGCUUCGGCGCAUCAUCGACCGAUCCUGAUGUUCUCGGAUGGAUUUGAGUAAGAGCAUACGGGGCCGGACCCGAAAGAAGGUGAACUAUGCCUGUAUAGGGUGAAGCCAGAGGACACUCUGGUGGAGGCUCGCAGCGGUUCUGACGUGCAAAUCGAUCGUCAAAUAUGGGCAUGGGGGGCGAAAGACUAAUCGAACCUUCUAGUAGCUGGUUUCCGCCGAAG
This 901-nucleotide ribosomal RNA is filed under the name Niesslia exosporioides. Its description in RNAcentral is "LSU rRNA". It matches the Rfam family "Eukaryotic large subunit ribosomal RNA", at positions 34 to 966 of the family's 3401-position model. The record is from RNAcentral. Lineage: Eukaryota; Fungi; Ascomycota; Sordariomycetes; Hypocreales; Niessliaceae.